RNAcentral lists this ribosomal RNA (68 nucleotides) under Plantibacter elymi (nom. nud.). Lineage: Bacteria; Bacillati; Actinomycetota; Actinomycetes; Micrococcales; Microbacteriaceae. The record is from RNAcentral.
AAGCUAAGACUCUUUGCGCCGAUGGUACUGCAGGGGGGACCCUGUGGGAGAGUAGGACACCGCCGGAC